CGAGUCCGUCCCCGAGCUCCCACUCGUUAUCUCUGAUUCCGCCGAGUCCCUCGAAAAGACCUCCGCUGCAAUCAAGACACUGAAGCAGAUCGGCGCCUUCCCGGAUGCUGAGAAGGCGAAGGACAGCCGCUCGAUCCGCCCCGGCAAGGGGAAGAUGCGCAACCGUCGCUACAUCAAUCGCAAAGGCCCACUUAUUGUCUACGGCACCGAGGGAGCCAAGAUCGUGAAGGCCUUUCGCAACAUUCCUGGUGUUGAUGUUGCG
Molecule: unclassified non-coding RNA, 262 nt
Filed under: Hevea brasiliensis (rubber tree)
Lineage: Eukaryota; Viridiplantae; Streptophyta; Magnoliopsida; Malpighiales; Euphorbiaceae
Source: RNAcentral